UCUCCGUCUGUCAAUACUUACAUCUGUAUAUCUAUAUCUACAGAGGGAGAUAUUAAUUAGGGUUUACACUUUAUUAUAUCAACCAAGAAAGUGGAAAUCGGCGGCUAGGAGGAAUUCACAUUCACAUUCACAUUAAUGUGAUUGCAUUGCAUACAAUAGGAGGAGGGUUUUGCAGGAUUCAAGGACUUGAGAUUCCUUUCAUGUUGAUUUUCAUCAUCUAUUUUAACCGCCGAUUGAGAAGAUUCUUCAUGGUAAUCAAUUCGUCUCGGUUACUUGCAAUUGGUUGGCUGUGUCUAAUUCCUUUUCUCCUACUUGCCUUAGUUACUGUACUUUGGAUUCAUCGGGCUUUGGACAGAUAAUGCUUUGACCUGAUCUUUGCUGCUGGGUACUCCUGGGUUUUGUUAAUUGAAAAGGAUCUAUGGCCAUUAGUUAGUGUCACCUCGUAAUUGAAUGGUUGCAGAAUCGGCUGGGUUAGGGUUUUGUAGGUUCAAGGAUACAUGAUGUCUUAUGUUGAAUGUGUAUCAGUGGGAGAGCUACUGGUUAUUGGUUGUUUUUUUGUGCAUCUUAUCUUAUGACUGUCAAAAGAAGGUGCUGGUGUAUAUGGUAGAUCAGAUGGCAUUCGUUUAUGGUUUUCCUUUUCAUAGGUAGAGUAAGGUUUAGCUUAUUGUUGCUCUUCUUUGUUUACUUCUCGUUACAUUUUGAUAAUAUCUGAUGUUUUUCUAGUCCUUGUUGGUUGUCAAAAGAUUCAUGGCUUUAAGCUCAAUCAAUUCCUGGCAAUGGGAUAAUUUUCAUA
Erigeron canadensis is the source of this 793-nucleotide long non-coding RNA. RefSeq lists it as uncharacterized. NCBI's taxonomy places the organism in Eukaryota, Viridiplantae, Streptophyta, Magnoliopsida, Asterales, Asteraceae. The record is from RefSeq and is a predicted model, not a curated record. The transcript is spliced from 5 exons.